UUUACCUACGGGGGGCAGCAGUGAGGAAUAUUGGUCAAUGGGAGAGAUCCUGAACCAGCCAAGCCGCGUGAGGGAAGACGGCCCUAUGGGUUGUAAACCUCUUUUGUCGGAGAACAAAACCCGGGACGUGUCCCGGACUGCGUGUAUCCGAAGAAAAAGCAUCGGCUAACUCCGUGCCAGCAGCCGCGGUAAUACGGAGGAUGCGAGCGUUAUCCGGAUUUAUUGGGUUUAAAGGGUGCGCAGGCGGAAUGUCAAGUCAGCGGUAAAAUUUCGGGGCUCAACCCCGUCGUGCCGUUGAAACUGGC
Molecule: ribosomal RNA, 305 nt
Filed under: uncultured bacterium
Lineage: Bacteria
Description: bacterial SSU rRNA
Rfam family: Bacterial small subunit ribosomal RNA
Source: RNAcentral